RNAcentral lists this ribosomal RNA (439 nucleotides) under uncultured Sphingobacteriales bacterium. Its description in RNAcentral is "bacterial SSU rRNA". It matches the Rfam family "Bacterial small subunit ribosomal RNA", at positions 939 to 1382 of the family's 1533-position model. Lineage: Bacteria; Pseudomonadati; Bacteroidota; Sphingobacteriia; Sphingobacteriales. The record is from RNAcentral.
AUGUGGUUUAAUUCGAUGAUACGCGAGGAACCUUACCUGGCUUAAAUGUAGAGUGCUAUUUUUAGAGAUAGAAAUUCCUUCGGGCUUUCUGCAAGGUGCUGCAUGGUUGUCGUCAGCUCGUGCCGUGAGGUGUCGGGUUAAGUCCCAUAACGAGCGCAACCCUUAUCGUUAGUUGCCAUCUGGUAAUGCAGGGGACUCUAGCGAAACUGCCACCGUAAGGUGAGAGGAAGGUGGGGAUGACGUCAAAUCAGCACGGCCCUUAUGUCCAGGGCUACACACGUGUUACAAUGGUCGGUACAGAGGGCAGCUACCUGGUGACAGGAUGCUAAUCUCGAAAACCGGUCUCAGUUCGGAUCGAAGUCUGCAACUCGACUCCAUGAAGCCGGAAUCGCUAGUAAUCGCGGAUCAGCAUGCCGCGGUGAAUACGUUCCCGGGCCUU